Molecule: non-coding RNA, 87 nt
Organism: Gnomoniopsis sp. IMI 355080
Lineage: Eukaryota; Fungi; Ascomycota; Sordariomycetes; Diaporthales; Gnomoniaceae
Source: the annotation of a GenBank genome assembly
GGGGAUGUGGUCUAGUGGAUAUGAUUUUCCCUUAGCAUUUGUAGCUAGUCAUGGGAAAGGUCCUGAGUUCGAUUCUUAGCUUCUCCA